AAGCGGUGGAGUAUGUGGUUUAAUUCGAUGCAACGCGAAGAACCUUACCUGGUCUUGACAUCCCAGAAAUCCCUUGGAAACUUGGGAGUGCUCCAUUAGGAAGAAUCUGGAGACAGGUGCUGCAUGGCUGUCGUCAGCUCGUGUCGUGAGAUGUUGGGUUAAGUCCCGCAACGAGCGCAACCCUUGCCUUUAGUUGCCAGCAGUUCGGCUGGGCACUCUAAAGGGACUGCCGGUGUUAAACCGGAGGAAGGUGGGGGAUGACGUCAAGUCCUCAUGCCCCUUAUGACCUGGGCUACACACGUGCUACAAUGGUUGGUACAACGAGUUGCGAGUCGGUGACGGCGAGCUAAUCUCUUAAAGCCAAUCUCAGUUCGGAUUGUAGGCUGCAACUCGCCUACAUGAAGUCGGAAUCGCUAGUAAUCGCGGAUCAGCACGCCGCGGUGAAUACGUUCCCGGGCCUU
Molecule: ribosomal RNA, 461 nt
Filed under: uncultured Smithella sp.
Lineage: Bacteria; Pseudomonadati; Thermodesulfobacteriota; Syntrophia; Syntrophales; Smithellaceae
Description: bacterial SSU rRNA
Rfam family: Bacterial small subunit ribosomal RNA
Source: RNAcentral